AACAGGCACACCUGCGUAAGACAUGCGCACACACGGUGACCCGCUAUGCACCCCCUCCCCUCCCCACAUCCCACAUUCCACCGGCCUCCUUACGACAUUCACACUCACGUAGGUUUCCAGUGACGUUGUCGCUCACUCCCUUAUACACGCACACAUAUCUAUCUUGUGGCCACGCUGCAUCCGUGCAGCUGCCUCUCCUCGUGAGCGUAAGCCCCUCCCCUCUUCUUUGCUCACCGAGUUUCGUGUUUUCCGUUUCGUUAACGAGGGUGUAGCUUACCUCCCCUCAUCGUUCCCCCCCCCUGCUGCUCUACGCCCGUGGCUGGCAUUCAUUCCGUAUUAGACACCCCGGUGCGCACCUUCUAGCGCGCUGCUGGUUCUCUUCACUUGCUUGCGGCAGUGCGUUGUAGAGGCGAUACGUUAGGCGCGCGUGUUCCGAAAGACCCAUCGACUACGAAAAGAAGGCAGCGCACGUGCGCUGUAUGAGGGGGAAGAGGGGGGUCACGUGGUGCGCCCACAGUCAGCGGAUGGUGGUCACCAGACAUCACGCGCCAACGCAACAAGAACCAAGGGCGAGCAUGCUGACGGGUGCCGGCGCGUACGGCGGUGGGGGUGGCGCACUCUCCGGCAACCACGAAGGUCAUGGCGCCUCUGCGCAAGAGAUGGUUGUUGUCUCACCGAACUCACAAGAGGUCGCAGAACUGCCCAGUGAGUGUGCCUCUCGCCAGGGGCACUGCUCCGUCGUCCUUCCCUACCGUCAACCCUCUCCAGAGACUCAAAGGUUCAUCGCCACAUGGCAGGGUGCACUCCCGAAGAACUUCUACAUCAUCACCGCGUGCGUUCUGGGGUGUGCGCUGACCAUCUUCAUCGGCAUACUCGUGCCGAUGCUCGUCAUACGCCGAAGCGCCAACAUACACAAUGCCGUGGUCCGGGCAAAGGAGUACGACGCCGUCAGUGCGUGGGCUUCCGUGUUGCGCGACGUCAUGAUUGAAGGCUUCGCCGCUACGCGUGCGUUGGCGGGCUAUUCGAUAAGCACGUUUCCCCCUCUGCAAACGCCCACGAAUGCGUCCGACUCGAUACCAAGCGACAAGAUCACGGCGUACCUGAAAAGGUUUCCGCGUUUUGCAUCCCUGAUCGCCUCGAAGAAGCCCGCCGUGGCGAUACAGGCCAUCUGCCCCGGCGGAGUCAUCGCCAUGACCCACCCGCACGAUCCGGACACAGUGGGCCGCGACCUCAUGAGCCCAAGCGACCCGACCAAUCGGUACAAGCCCUCCACAAGGGAGACCGCUCAGUCGGGUCGCUACGCCAUCGUUGGCCCGCGACGCACCACCAUCGCCUCCCUCAAGCAAAUUUGGGUCAUCUUUACGCGCGCGCCCCUCUACAGGAAUACCUCUAAAGGAGUGAUUCCCUCGCAGGAGACCUUCUGGGGUUUCGUGCUACUCGUCGUCAACGUGACAGGCGCGCUCGACGUUAUGGAUCUGGACAAGCUUGCCAAGGACCAUAAUCUGGACUACGUGCUCUACGACACUUCAACAGAGUCAGGUGACACGCAUGUGAUCGCCUCCUCGCUGCCAUCGGGCGCAAUGCAGCCGGACUACGAGGAAUUCGUCGCUGAAAGCACCGUCACAGACGUCCUGGCACCCCACUCGUCGCUGCACAUUGCGGUGCGCUCACGCGAGACGUACGUCUCCCUCACUCCUACCAACAUCAUUCUCAUCGUACUGUGGACACUGUUCGGCUCCCUGCUCCUGUUGGGCAUCUCCAUCGCAGCCGUGUUGUGGUGCACGGCCACCUACGACGCCGCAGCGCACGCGCCCAAGAUGGCACCCUUCGCCAUGCUCACCAUCGGCCCCUGCCGCGGCGAGGAGCUCUGGGAUCUUGCCACGGAUCAGAUGGCCGAGGUGACGGAGAAGCUCGAUCAGGUACUGGUGCGGCAAAUGGAGCGGCACCGCGCCUACCAGAUCCAGCAGGUGCACCCGCUCACCACAUCGUACGUCACGCGCAGCGUCGCCGCCGCUGUGCAGAUGGCCUUCAGCACCAUCGAGGAGCUGCAGCGCCACCCCAUCGACGGCCCGCUGCGCGCCGUGCUCGGUGAUGAGGUCCGCCUGCUGCUGUGCUACGCCGUGCACUGGUGCACCGACGCCGCCGUGCGCGUGGAAUCGCUGGAAGGCACGUACCGCUACGAGGGCUGCGACGUUGUCUUUGGUGGCCGCAUGUGGGCCUUUGCUGCGCCCAGCGUCGUCACGGCGUCCGAGGCGGUGGUGCAGACACUGCCGUGCUUCGGCCUCUCCGGCGUUGUUACGCGAGCGUACCAGACGGUCGACGUGAUGCGCACCACACGAGCCAGCUACACCGACGGCAGCGAGGCAGGCAGCAGCGAUGCAUCCAGCACAAUCGGUGGGGGCGGCAGCGCGACGCUGUACCUACUGGUGCACGCAGCGAAGCAAGAUCUCGUGGCGGGAGCAGAGGCGACUGCAGCCGCCGCGGCCGCUGGGGCGAUGGUGCCUCAACUCAUGGUUGGUAACGCUCCAGCGCCCAGCCUCUACUGCGGGCUGAUAACGCGUGGGAACUCGCCGAGCUUAGAAGCAGGGAGGGCGUCUGUGCCCAGUCUGCAGGAUGUGUCCGCGCGAUCACCGGAAAUCGAGUCCUCUGCGUCCAGCGCCUGGAGCUCUGCGGCCUCGACCAAAGGGAGCUCGAGAGCGACCAACGCGUCACAGCGCCGUGGGCGUGCAGCAGCCGAAAGGAGCGCACGUACUCGCAAUCCUUUAAGCCGCGGGGAUUUGGACACGGAACAGCAGGCCUUGGUGCGGAAGCAGGCUCUUGCGAAACACAACGCGGCCUCGACUCCAGAGCAGCAUCGUCUUGUGCUGAUUGAAGCUGAUGCCGUCACACGCGCGCUGCUGCAGCCGCUGAUCCCACGCGCGCUCGACGUUGCCCUGCGCGUCGCCUUUGACUACCAGUCCAUCACCCUCGAUGUGCGCUACGCCGAGGUGCGGGUGCUGGUCUACUACUUCUACUCCAGCUACAAGAUCCUGUUCCGCCCGCUGGCCGCGCCGGAGCGCCACAACAUCUUCCGCCGCCUGGUGACAGCCUUUGGUGUGCCGCAGCAGGGCAUCCUCGAGCACCUGGCCGCGCGCGGUGCGGUUCAGUGGUUGUCGCAGGUGCGCAAGAUCAACGGGUUCAUGCAUCGGCAAGGCUCUCUUGAAUGCAGUAGCCAAACAGAAAGCUCGUCAGUGACCCCGUCUCCGUGCAACAGUCUCCCGGGGGCGCAACGGCUGCGUCUCUAGCGGCUGCAAGCGGACGUCUGCCUUACGAUGCAGUGCCACAGCGCUCCCCCACCACCGCCACCACUACCGCACAAGACGCUCGUCCCCCGGCCCUGCGUCGGGGUGGCGAAAAGUGUGUCUGUCGCGUCUGCACGUGUGUCAGCGGGGUGGAAGGUGGAGAGAGGAGUUAGGGGAUGGGAAAGUGGCACGGUGUGUCCAGUCAUGUAGACACGAUCAAUGCAGGUGGCCUGUUCAAAAGGAUGCCCUUCAACGCAGUUGUGGGACCCUGCGUCGAGCGGCAGUGAAGCGGGGCUUUCCUCGCCGCCGUCGCCCACCCACGCCCCUCCUACUCCUCCUCUCAUGCCAAGCCCUUCUCGACACGGAGGUCUCACUCCUUCUCUUGGGCCCUUCGACUUAUUCGCUAGCUUGGUGUGUGUGUGUGUGUGUGUGUGUGUGUCCUUCGUUUUCUUUUUCCUUUGGCUUUUCGUAUACAUCUGCUUGCUUGUCUUGGGGAGAGGGGAAGAGAGAAGGGGGGAGGGGGCGGGGGCUUUUCGCCUCGUGUGUCUACGCAUGUGUAUGCGCGUGUGCCCAGGUCCGCCUGUUGAAUGCACAUAUAACCCUGCAGUGCGCUGCCGGUGCCUCGACCUCCCGCCUUCCCCCCACCCAUCGUCCCUUCCAGUCCCGCGCACACACACACACUUUCGUUUUGGCAUGGUUUCCUUCGUCUGCAGUGCUCAUUGGUUCCCCCCCCUCCCCCCAUAUACGUGCGUUUUCGUUUUCCUCGUGCUGUGGUUGUCGGCUCUCUGUCACGACAGGGUGCCUCGGCGCCCCCUCAUGACGGGGAAGGGGAAAGAGGGUGGGGGUGGCACACAUCUCCGUGCGUCGCACCACAGGCUCCCGUGACCCCACCAACCACCAGCACCACGUUGUGGGCGGAAGCCAAGCAACCCCCACCCCCACCCCUCCCAUAUUCCUGCCAAACGCCGAACCAGCUCUGGUGGUCACAGGUUCAGGUCCCGGAUGGCGUUACGUUGGAGCGACCCGCGACAGUGAGCACGUCUGUGCCAUCUAUAUGAUCGGCAGCGUUUAAGGCAGAAGCCGUGCUCGCAUAACUGAGCCCGCGGAUUGCUGUAACGCGCGUGCCUACGGCUGCUUCGCACCACGGGAUGGGUCUGUGGCAUGCCGGGGCUCGAGUAGAGUCUGACGCAUAUUCUGUGGCAGGGAAUAGUUGACACGUUGG
Molecule: unclassified non-coding RNA, 4503 nt
Filed under: Leishmania donovani
Lineage: Eukaryota; Euglenozoa; Kinetoplastea; Trypanosomatida; Trypanosomatidae
Description: gene:LdHU3.09.0450(CDS-product:hypothetical_prote in_conserved)
Source: RNAcentral